CGUAAGGCGCCGAAUGAGUCAUUAAAAAAUUAACAUCAUCCGAUCCCUAGUCGGCAUAGUUUAUGGUUAAGACUACGACGGUAUCUGAUCGUCUUCGAUCCCCCUAACUUUCGUUCUUGAUUAAUGAAAACAUCCUUGGCAAAUGCUUUCGCAGUAGUUAGUCUUCAAUAAAUCCAAGAAUUUCACCUCUGACAAUUGAAUACUAAUGCCCCCAACUAUCCCUAUUAAUCAUUACGUCAAUCCUAGAAACCUAACAAAAUAGGAUCGAACGUCCUAUUUCAUUAUUCCAUGCUAAUGUAUUCAAGCGUUAGCCUGCUUUAAACACUCUAAUUUUUUCAAAGUAACAGUCCAGAUUCCCUGCAACACCAAAUUAAUGGCAUUACAGCUCAUCAGGAAGGAGGAAUCAGUGAGACCAGUACAUACCGGAGGCAUGACCAACCUACUAACCCCGAAAUUCAACUACGAGCUUUUAACUGCAACAACUUUAAUAUACGCUAUUGGAGCUGGAAUUACCGCGGCU
RNAcentral lists this ribosomal RNA (520 nucleotides) under uncultured Glomus. Its description in RNAcentral is "partial 18S ribosomal RNA". The record is from RNAcentral. Lineage: Eukaryota; Fungi; Glomeromycota; Glomeromycetes; Glomerales; Glomeraceae.